CAAGUCGAGGGGCAGCAUGGUCUUAGCUUGCUAAGGCCGAUGGCGACCGGCGCACGGGUGAGUAACACGUAUCCAACCUGCCGUCUACUCUUGGACAGCCUUCUGAAAGGAAGAUUAAUACAAGAUGGCAUCAUGAGUCCGCAUGUUCACAUGAUUAAAGGUAUUCCGGUAGACGAUGGGGAUGCGUUCCAUUAGAUAGUAGGCGGGGUAACGGCCCACCUAGUCUUCGAUGGAUAGGGGUUCUGAGAGGAAGGUCCCCCACAUUGGAACUGAGACACGGUCCAAACUCCUACGGGAGGCAGCAGUGAGGAAUAUUGGUCAAUGGGCGAGAGCCUGAACCAGCCAAGUAGCGUGAAGGAUGACUGCCCUAUGGGUUGUAAACUUCUUUUAUAAAGGAAUAAAGUCGGGUAUGCAUACCCGUUUGCAUGUACUUUAUGGAUAAGGAUCGGCUAACUCCGUGCCAGCAGCCGCGGUAAUACGGAGGAUCCGAGCGUUAUCCGGAUUUAUUGGGUUUAAAGGGAGCGUAGAUGGAUGUUUAAGUCAGUUGUGAAAGUUUGCGGCUCAACCGUAAAAUUGCAGUUGAUACUGGAUAUCUUGAGUGCAGUUGAGGCAGGCGGAAUUCGUGGUGUAGCGGUGAAAUGCUUAGAUAUCACGAAGAACUCCGAUUGCG
Molecule: ribosomal RNA, 670 nt
Filed under: uncultured Bacteroidales bacterium
Lineage: Bacteria; Pseudomonadati; Bacteroidota; Bacteroidia; Bacteroidales
Description: bacterial SSU rRNA
Rfam family: Bacterial small subunit ribosomal RNA
Source: RNAcentral